Molecule: long non-coding RNA, 415 nt
Filed under: Monodelphis domestica (gray short-tailed opossum)
Lineage: Eukaryota; Metazoa; Chordata; Mammalia; Didelphimorphia; Didelphidae
Description: lncRNA (ENSMODG00000031905.2)
Source: RNAcentral
GGUAUGGACUAGGCCAUUGGGGCUAAAUGACUUGCCCAGGGUCACCCAGCUAGCUGGACACUUUUUCAGUCCCCUGACCAGGGAGGCUUCUUGUUGUUCAUGUGCCCGUUCAUUAUCCCUGCAGUGUCACCCCAACAGUAAAACAUGUUAGUGACUAUAAUGGACUAAUUUUCUCUUUGAAUUGUUUCCCACAGUCGAUUAUGUGCCAUACAACUCAGAUUAUGACAACCCUGAUGAUUUCUACGGAAGUGAGACUGAGGAUGAUUAUAACAAAGGUAAUUUAAUUUGAACUUUCUUUUUAAUUUUAUUUUUCUUCAGACUGAUUUACCUAUAAUGGACAAGAAAAGCAAAAGACUCAUUUCUAGUAUUUGGUUUCUAGCUAAGGUUUCUAGGUCCUUGGCUGUGUUUCAUUUCC